CUAUAAUAACUGGAUAGCGCAUCUCUAUUAUCAAAAGUGAAGCCAAUUUUUUGCACGGCCGCCAUAUUGGAAAGCCCCAGAAUACCGAAAAUACAGUGAUUGCGCUUGAAGAUGUACCUUUUUACUUCGUUUAUAUCUACUCGACCAAGUCACAUAUUUCAAUGAUAUUAUUAUAUUUAAAAUGUUUGAAGGUGUAAAAAUUAUAAAAGGGAAUCAAAAACACGCAAAACAUUAACGACAAAGAGAAAUAUCGCUAUAAAGAAAUAAUAAAAUUUGUAUUGCUUUCUAUGAACUUGUUAAAUUUAUUGAAUUUAUGAUAUUCUAAAUAAAACUUUUCUGAAAGACAAAUUGAUAUUUAA
Molecule: non-coding RNA, 359 nt
Organism: Hydra vulgaris (swiftwater hydra)
Lineage: Eukaryota; Metazoa; Cnidaria; Hydrozoa; Anthoathecata; Hydridae
Source: RefSeq, a predicted model, not a curated record